Non-coding RNA from Lolium perenne, 519 nucleotides. Lineage: Eukaryota; Viridiplantae; Streptophyta; Magnoliopsida; Poales; Poaceae. The record is from RefSeq and is a predicted model, not a curated record.
CAGACAUUUCAAACGUAGCAAUCAACGUUCCGAGUAGAGGAAGAUGUUUCCGUGGUCGAGAGGAAAUUCAACUUGAUUUUCAGAUAGGGACAUUAACACGCUGCCGUCCGUCACAGGGUAACACUAAAAUAAAAACGUCAGUCGUCAGAGGCCUAACACGUGUGGGCGAAGAUGUCAACAACUGUGAGAAACGCCAGAAGACAAUGCCCACAAGGCACGAUGACAGCGACCAAACAACAAGCGAGCCGCACCAACCAACUCAAGAUAAUGAGUCACCAUAUCACAGAAUUUCAGCACAACAGGAUACGAUCAACCACAGGAUGCAAUUACUUGAACUAACAAUAAUAGUUUCCAACAUACGUUUGCCUCAUCGCAAACCAAAAGGACAUCACCGAUUAAAGUCUUACACAAACGAUAUCUCAUCUACACGGAACACAGACCUAACACAGCAAUUAGGAAACUAAGAAGAAACAGGCAAGGGCAUUAAGGAAAUUAGAACAUGACGCGUUGAUUCCCCUC